UUUUUCCUCUGCAAUUUUUGAACCUCGCCGGAGCUGGCCGGAGAAGACGGUGGCGCUGGUCACCGUCUGUUCUCCAGAUUUCAUCAGGAUCGUUCGUUCAUGUUUCCAGAUGUAAUCUCACGCGUCCUUUGUUAUGACCUUUUUUAAUGUUCCAUGUGACUCGUUUGACUCACGUGUUUGGUAGGCGCGCGCUGUGAUCCACAUGAUGUGCCAACUCAACUAAUGAGCUCAGAUCCAACGCUCCACGCUUUUCACUUUUUUUAAUUUCUG
Molecule: long non-coding RNA, 270 nt
Filed under: Lathyrus oleraceus (garden pea)
Lineage: Eukaryota; Viridiplantae; Streptophyta; Magnoliopsida; Fabales; Fabaceae
Description: Pisum sativum (pea) long non-coding RNA (PSAT_LNC016008)
Source: RNAcentral